This 253-nucleotide ribosomal RNA is filed under the name uncultured bacterium. RNAcentral describes it as "partial 16S ribosomal RNA". It matches the Rfam family "Bacterial small subunit ribosomal RNA", at positions 524 to 776 of the family's 1533-position model. The record is from RNAcentral.
UACGUAGGGUGCAAGCGUUAUCCGGAAUUACUGGGUGUAAAGGGUGUGUAGGCGGCGAGACAAGUCAUAUGUGGAAUACCUGUGCUUAACGCAGGAAUUGCAUAAGAAACUGUCUGGCUAGAGUGCAGGAGAGGUAAGCGGAAUUCCUAGUGUAGCGGUGAAAUGCGUAGAUAUUAGGAAGAACACCAGUGGCGAAGGCGGCUUACUGGACUGAAACUGACGCUGAGACACGAAAGCGUGGGGAGCAAACAGG